Molecule: long non-coding RNA, 2307 nt
Organism: Bos indicus x Bos taurus (hybrid cattle)
Lineage: Eukaryota; Metazoa; Chordata; Mammalia; Artiodactyla; Bovidae
Source: Ensembl
GUGACUAAAAGGGACUCUGUCUUGGAGCGGGUUUUGUUCAAACAGAAGGUGACUCUUGUUCGUGAUGGAGAGAUGGGGGCACCAGCAUGACCUUGAGGCGGCAGUUUGGAGGCUGAGAUGGAGCUCCUGAUGAGGGUUGCCAUGGCCACAGGGCUCUGGUGAGUAAAGGGCCCUCCACACUUUCACAUCAGUCACCUCACCCAUGUGGAGCUCAGGCAACUCUGCUCCGAGCCUUGGGCGCCUCCAGGAGCUCCUGGGAGCUCCUCCUUCUGUGGCACCUGAGGUCCCUGGGUGCUCCUGGUAGGAACACAUCACCACAGGCUACCACGUGGUGUGUCCUCUGGGCCCUCCCAGUAGUACCACCGGGGGCGGUGGAAGAGGAAGCAGGUUCACAGAGGACCAGUGACGUACCCAAGCCCAGUGAUGACUGUCCACGCCCUGUGCCGGGUGAGGACGUGAUGACAGUUCCAUGGCAUCAGGCUCCUAACCCGCAAGACUUAAGGAGGCUCCAGCGCCCUGGAGGGCUGCUUCUCCUACCCCAGGCGUGUGCCUUCCUGGACUCAACCUGGUCGUAGGUGUGCAGUCCUCUCUCCUCUUUUGAACGCCUGACUUUGCUCACACGGGGUGGGUCUCGCGACAACCUUCUCCAUGAGACACUCUGCAGUUGCAGGUGGUGAGGAGCGUGGGGAAGGUACAGCCACUUCCCAAAUCCUGGACCAGGUGCUGGCCGGCCUUGCUGGCCCACGUCUCUGGGGAGCUCGUCCCAGACUUGGCCAUCUCCCCAGAUGUCUGGCCAUUUCCAAGCUGGUUGUGCGUCAGAAUCACCACGGUUCUCUGGAGACACGGACGCCUGGCCCCAGGCCCCACAGUGCUGCUUCACAGGCCCAAGGUAGGACCUGGGCGCCUGCAGGUAAAAAGUCCCGCAGGUCCAGCGGCCCCAGCCCCUACACUUGGCCCCGGUUCUGCCCCAGGUCCAAGGAGAGGCAUCCACGGCCCAUGUGGAGGCAGCGCCGUGGGUUCACUCCCCGCCUGGCUCCCGCAGGAUCUACGAGGGCCCCAGGGCAGAGUGGAGAGGACAUGCCCGCCUUGGGAGACAGGAGCUGGGAGAUGUGAUGUCCCCGUUGGGAGGCACAAGCUGCUAAUUGCUUUGUUUCGCGUUACCAACAUCUGCGGGGAGAGAGCAGAUGCCGCCACUUGCCCAGCCUGCUGUCCCCAGAGCAGCACCAGGAGCAUACUUCUCUCUCCUUCUCGAAGAUUCCAGGCGGAACCUCUCAGCUCGGCGCCACAAACUGAACGGCUCCACCAAGGAAGAGGAAGUGCCUUGUCUGCUGAGAGGAGCUCCAUUCAGCCUCUGAGCCUCAGUUUCCCUGUUUGUGAAACCAAGAACUAACCCGCCUGCAACUGCAUCAUAGGGUUUUCUCAAGAGGAUCAAAUUUAAUCAGGUUCAACAAGCUGUGUAUUAAUACAACAUUUAAACUGCUUCCCAAAUGACUGGUGCUGAGGGAAUACACGCGUGCAUAAAAUGAGAUGUCGUUCUCAGAAGAAAUGGAAAAUGCAGAGGAAGGCACACACACAUCAGCAAGCAGGAUGCAGGGCUGAAUUAGUGAUCAUGGUUGUCCCCAUGGCAACCACGGCCCCAGGACCCCUGUCUCCAUAGCAGACUGUGCCUUGCUGGCCUGUGCCCACCCUGCCCCCAAAUGAUGAGGGUCCAUCACAUGCCCACAAAGGGGAGAACCCAGCCCGUCCUGUUGGGAGUGGAGACGGUGACCCCUGGGCACAGGGGCUAUGUCUUUUGAACCUCCUGGUGCUUCAAGCCCAGCAGAGUACCUGGCACAAGCUCAACCUCUGAGCUUUUUUUAACCAUGAAACAAACUAGAUGCACAGUGACCAGUAUAAUAGUUUGAGAACAACAGCCCGCCCCCGCACCCCACUUGCUUCCCAUCUUCUUCAUCACCUAAGGAAGCGUCACUACUGUUUGGCUUUUCUUCCUUUGAACCAGGUCUAAAUGGAUGUCAACAGGCAUCUUCUGGGACAUGUGUUUCUGCUCUCCACCGUAUUGAGACUCAGUUAGUUAAUGUCCCCUCUGGGGUAGGACUGAUGGUGGUGGGUGCAGUCAACGUUGCUGAAUGCAGGCAGGGGCUGUGAAGGCAAAUACCCCGUGUGCCUAGCCGAGGAGGAGAGAGUUGGGAGCCCUCAGGAGCCUGAAGGCCAGGCUUGGCAACAGCUGCACUGCCUGGACCCUGGAGGGUGUGCCUGUCUCAGCUGGGUGCCUGUGUGGGUGGAGCCGGGGGGGUGUGGAAGCCGGGG